UCUAAUAUGGCAGAUAAGUGCGGUGGAUUUAAGCUCCACAUAUAAAGCUCCCGUAACUUUUAUUAGAA
This 68-nucleotide transfer RNA is filed under the name Stolotermes victoriensis. Its description in RNAcentral is "tRNA-Leu". The record is from RNAcentral. Lineage: Eukaryota; Metazoa; Arthropoda; Insecta; Blattodea; Termopsidae.